Molecule: ribosomal RNA, 465 nt
Filed under: uncultured bacterium
Lineage: Bacteria
Description: partial 16S ribosomal RNA
Rfam family: Bacterial small subunit ribosomal RNA
Source: RNAcentral
CCUACGGGGGGCUGCAGUAGGGAAUCUUCCACAAUGGGCGAAAGCCUGAUGGAGCAACGCCGCGUGGGUGAAGAAGGUCUUCGGAUCGUAAAACCCUGUUGUUAGAGAAGAAAGUGCGUGAGAGUAACUGUUCACGUUUCGACGGUAUCUAACCAGAAAGCCACGGCUAACUACGUGCCAGCAGCCGCGGUAAUACGUAGGUGGCAAGCGUUAUCCGGGUUUAUUGGGCGUAAAGGGAACGCAGGCGGUCUUUUAAGUCUGAUGUGAAAGCCUUCGGCUUAACCGGAGUAGUGCAUUGGAAACAGGGAGACUGGAGUGCAGAAGAGGAGAGUGGAACUCAAUGUGUAGCGGUGAAAUGCGUAGAUAUAUGGAAGAACACCAGUGGCGAAGGCGGCUCUCUGGUCUGUAACUGACGCUGAGGUUCGAAAGCGUGGGUAGCAAACAGGAUUAGAUACCCGAGUAGUC